RNAcentral lists this ribosomal RNA (253 nucleotides) under uncultured bacterium. RNAcentral's name for it is "partial 16S ribosomal RNA". It matches the Rfam family "Bacterial small subunit ribosomal RNA", at positions 524 to 776 of the family's 1533-position model. The record is from RNAcentral.
UACGUAGGGUGCAAGCGUUGUCCGGAAUUAUUGGGCGUAAAGGGCUCGUAGGCGGCUUGUCAAGUCGGACGUGAAAUCCCUCGGCUUAACCGGGGAACUGCGUCCGAUACUGGAUGGCUUGAGUUUGGGAGAGGGAUGCGGAAUUCCAGGUGUAGCGGUGAAAUGCGUAGAUAUCUGGAGGAACACCGGUGGCGAAGGCGGCAUCCUGGGCCAACACUGACGCUGAUGAGCGAAAGCCAGGGGAGCAAACGGG